CAUGCCCCUUAUACGCUGGGCUACACACGUGCUACAAUGGGUAGAACAGAGAGUCGCAAAGCCGUGAGGUGGAGCUAAUCUCAGAAAACUAUUCUUAGUUCGGAUUGUACUCUGCAACUCGAGUACAUGAAGUUGGAAUCGCUAGUAAUCGCGAAUCAGCAAUGUCGCGGUGAAUACGUUCUCGGGUCUUGUACACACCGCCCGUCACACCACGAGAGUUGGUUGCACCUGAAGUAGCAGGCCUAACCGUAAGGAGGGAUGCUCCGAGGGUGUGAUUAGCGAUUGGGGUGAAGUCGUAACAAGGUAUCCGUACGGGAACGUGCGGAUGGAUCACCUCCUUUCUAAGGAGACAAUGUCUUUCUCUAUUCUAUUGGUAAUGUUCUUACAUUACUUCUGAACAUUGGAAACUAUAUAGUAGAACAAAAAUAACUCUAAACAAUUUCUUAGAGUUAGCUGUCAAAAAAAUAGAUUAAAAUAAUUAAGGGCACACAAAGGAUGCCUAGGUAGUAAGAGCCGAUGAAGG
This 523-nucleotide small RNA is filed under the name uncultured Fusobacterium sp. RNAcentral describes it as "bacterial SSU rRNA". The stretch from base 1 to 341 matches the Rfam family "Bacterial small subunit ribosomal RNA", at positions 1194 to 1533 of the family's 1533-position model. The record is from RNAcentral. Lineage: Bacteria; Fusobacteriati; Fusobacteriota; Fusobacteriia; Fusobacteriales; Fusobacteriaceae.